Molecule: non-coding RNA, 474 nt
Organism: Hemibagrus wyckioides
Lineage: Eukaryota; Metazoa; Chordata; Actinopteri; Siluriformes; Bagridae
Source: the annotation of a RefSeq genome assembly
AUGUUCACUGUUAUAUUCAUGUGUCUGUGGCUUUCACUAGGUGACUCCAUGGCAGAUUCAAUAGAGCCACUUUUCAAUUAUAAAGCUGUAGAUGAAGGUGAUGAUGUUACUCUGUCCUGCAAAUACAAAUUCAGUGUUUCAGGAAUCAACUACCUGCAGUGGUACAGGCAAUAUCCAAAAUCUAAACCUGAGUUCCUGCUUUAUAUUUCUACAAAUGGAGAUCCAAGUCAAAACAUCCCCCCAAGAAUGUCUCCUAAAGUUCAUGGUGAUGAACAAGUGGAUCUGAUCAUCUCCUCUGCUGCUGUAUCAGACUCUGCUUUAUACUACUGUGUGCAGGUGUGGCACCCACCACCAAAUGUCCACAGAGACCGCAACAAUUCCGUAGAGGAGUGCCAUAACCCAACACGUUUAAACAAGCCUGUUCCCAAAGCAACUGGAGCCCAUCCCACGUGCAUUAGCAGUCUGUUUCCUUAA